UGCAUCGGCCAGGAAUCGAAACCGGGUCGCCCGCGUGGCAGGCGAGCAUUCUACCACUGAACCACCAAUGG
This 71-nucleotide transfer RNA is filed under the name Cordylochernes scorpioides. RNAcentral describes it as "tRNA-Gly". The record is from RNAcentral. Lineage: Eukaryota; Metazoa; Arthropoda; Arachnida; Pseudoscorpiones; Chernetidae.